Molecule: long non-coding RNA, 513 nt
Organism: Vitis vinifera (wine grape)
Lineage: Eukaryota; Viridiplantae; Streptophyta; Magnoliopsida; Vitales; Vitaceae
Exons: 3
Source: RefSeq, a predicted model, not a curated record
UAAAGGUCCAGUGGAGCAAUCAUAGUGUUCGUGAAGCUACUUGGGAGUUAGAAGAAGAGAUGAGAGAAAAGCAUCCUCAAUUAUUUCAAGACUCAGGUAUGUCAAGUUUAGAGGACUAAACUUUUGUUAAGGAGGGGAGGAUGUAACGCCCAAGCAUUUUCUCUUAAGGGUAAUUUAGGAAAUUGUUAUUAAUAAUUAAAUUAAUUGAUUAAUUAAUUUAAUAAAGUGGAAGAGGGGUAAAAGUGUAAUUUUACGAAUAAAUACCCUAGGUAUAAAUUAGAAAUUUUAUUCUUUCCCUUCUUUUCUGAAUAGAGUUCCUGUUCGCAGAAUUCCAGAGAACGUAAGGUUGGAGUCAGAUUUCAGGGUUGAAGAACAGAUCUCUAUAGGUGAAGAGUAGAUUUUAAGGAUUAUUUUUCUCCAAAGUUUUUGAGGACUUCUUUUGAGGUACUCUUAGUUCGGGUGAGGAGUGAUGGCUAGGCUGAGAAAUGGUCAUCAUUAGGAUUUGACUUAGGA